UACGUAGGGUGCAAGCGUUGUCCGGAAUUAUUGGGCGUAAAGAGCUCGUAGGCGGUUUGUUGCGUCGGCUGUGAAAUCCCGAGGCUCAACCUUGGGUCUGCAGUCGAUACGAGCAAACUAGAGUGUUGCAGGGGAGACUGGAAUUCCUGGUGUAGCGGUGAAAUGCGCAGAUAUCAGGAGGAACACCGAUGGCGAAGGCGGGUCUCUGGGCAACAACUGACGCUGAGGAGCGAAAGCGUGGGGAGCGAACAGG
Molecule: ribosomal RNA, 253 nt
Filed under: uncultured bacterium
Lineage: Bacteria
Description: partial 16S ribosomal RNA
Rfam family: Bacterial small subunit ribosomal RNA
Source: RNAcentral